This 1756-nucleotide long non-coding RNA is filed under the name Apis mellifera (honey bee). RNAcentral's name for it is "uncharacterized LOC113218806". The record is from RNAcentral. Lineage: Eukaryota; Metazoa; Arthropoda; Insecta; Hymenoptera; Apidae.
UAUACAUUAUUCUGUAUUAUUCCUUCUGCAAUUUGAAUUUUUCUUUUUUUCUUUUUCUGUAAUUUCGUUUCGUCGAGUCGAUCGAUUAAGAAGUUGAUUGAUCGAGACGAUGGUUAUGAAUUAAGCUCAUUCAAGCGAGAAAGUUAAAAUCGUAACAGAAAUUCUCUCGGGUAUAAAUAAAUUCCUCCGAGUCUAAUCCCGCCAAGAAUAAUUCUGCCAAGAGGUAACCGCGUAAAACGGUGGUUCCGUGUCAAAAGGGUAAAGCUGGCAGAAAAUAACACCGUUAGUUCUGGCGCUGCGUCAAAAAUCCAAGUGAAGAGGGUAAGGAGAAGAAGAAUAUAACCGUGAAUCCAUAACGUGAAUCGAUGCAAAGUUCAUGGCAACAAGUAUUUCCACCAAUAUCCUCGAAUAUCUUUCUUUCCCCAUUCUUCACCAAAAUUUCUCUUCCAAAAAUUAUACUAAAAAUUGUACGAUCACACCCGAAUUAAAAUCUCGUUCGUAUCUUUUCUAACGAAAAAAUCGAAAAGGUUCAUGGCAACAAGUAUUUCCACCAAUAUCCUCGAAUAUCUUUCUUUCCCCAUUCUUCACCAAAAUUUCUUUUCCAAAAACUAUACUAAAAAUUGUACGAUCACAUCCAGAUUAAAAUUUCGUUCUUUUCUAACGAAAAAAUCGAAAAGGUUCAUGGCAACAAGUAUUUCCACCAAUAUCCUCGAAUAUCUUUCCCCAAAAUUCUUCACCAAAAUUUCUUUUCCAAAAACUAUACUAAAAAUUGUACAAUCACACCCGGAUUAAAAUCUCGUUCUUUUCUAAGGAAAAAAUCAAUCGCAAGUUUCAAUGCAAUCCACGCUAUCAGAAUUUCAACCAAAAUUUCGUACAAUCCGCAAAUAAUAAAAUCUCUCGUGUACACAUUGGAGAAGCAAGCGUUCGAUUUCGACACUCGUCGAUCGAGGAGAGGAAAUUUGGAUCAAGGGGAGGGGGAGGGAAAAAAAGGACACGCGAGAUCGACAGGCGUCGUCGUUUUGGCGCCCACGUGAACCACGAGAUGGCAAAGUUUGGGACCAGUGAUCGGCAGGAACAAUGAACGGUCCCCUCCUCCCCUUUUCCCAGCCGUUUCUAUCCAGUUCGAACCGGAAAACCGGCGACUGGCGGUCUCACGCGACGCGAUAUACCCGUCCACCCGGUUAUUGGAUACUAUCGACAACCUCUCUCUCUCUCUUUCCCUCUCUUUUGCCGCUGUUUCGAGGCCGUGCCUCAACUUCCCGAUGAAUGACGACGCGUCUUCUGGGACAAGUUGAUCGACCUUUGCGCCGAGGAGGACCGUGGAAUUAAAAAGUUUGUGAAAUAUCGUGUAAUUUUUCUUUCUUUUUUUUUUUUUUUUCCUUUGCAAGAAGAAGAGAUGAAUGACGCGUGUUUUGGAACAAGUUGAUCGACAAAAUAAUUGUAAAAUAAUUAAUUUUUCUCUCUUUUUUUUUUUGCAAUUGCACUUUUGAUAACGUCGUAAAAUUUCUUGAUCUAAGAAUGGACGAAUGAAUGACGCGUCUUCUGGAACAAGUUGAUCGACCUUUGCGCCGAGGAGGACCGUGGAAUUAAAAAGUUUGUGAAAUAUCGUGUAAUUUUUCUUUCUUUUUUUUUUUUUUUUCCUUUGCAAGAAGAAGAGAUGAAUGACGCGUGUUUUGGAACAAGUUGAUCGACAAAAUAAUUGUAAAAUAAUUAAUUUUUCUCUCUUUUUUUUUUUGCAAUUGCACUUUUGAUAACG